Molecule: long non-coding RNA, 840 nt
Organism: Xyrauchen texanus (razorback sucker)
Lineage: Eukaryota; Metazoa; Chordata; Actinopteri; Cypriniformes; Catostomidae
Exons: 3
Source: RefSeq, a predicted model, not a curated record
UUUUAUCCAAAGCGACUUACAGAGCACAUAUUACAGGGACAAUCCCCCCGGAACAACCUGGAGUUAAGUGCCUUGCUCAAGGACACAAUGGUGGUGGCCAUGGGGUUCGAACCAGUGACCUUCUGAUUAACAGCCCUGUGCUUUAGGCUAAUGCAAGGCUUUCUCAGCAAAUAUUUGUAUAUGCAAUUAAUUAAUCGGGACACCAUGUAAUUAAUUCGAUUAAAAUGUUUUAUGGAUUGACAGUCCUUAUAUAUAUAUAUAUAUGGGGGGCGGGUCGCGUGAUAUGAGGCCCAAGCAAUCAUCUGUGUUCUGUAACUGCUUUCGGGUCCUUGAAUAAUGUAUAAGGUGCAAGUAAGGGCAGCUGGAUGUCUCUCCGGUACCCUCCUAGGGAGUUAGCGCCCUACGCAGACUGUUUAGUCAGCUAAUAAGGAGCGGCGGUACUGCAACCGCGAGAGUUUGUUCCGAGACAAAUAUUCAAGAUGGUUGCGCACUUGUUUACUGCUUAUAAGGAGCGGCGGUACUGCAACCGCGAGAGUUUGUUCCGAGACAAAUAUUCAAGAUGGCUGCGCACUUGUCUAUCUGGCCCAAAAGGGCGGGACCAGAGUCACAGCUCUCAUUAGCAUACAGAUAAGCUCCAAGGCCGCAAACUUUUAAAGAAACGGACGCCAUCAGAGGAAUACUGUGACUUAAGAUGUUUCCCCUGUGUACUGCCCAUCAGCUCUGAGCACUUGACUCACCUGCUCCAAAACUCAGUGGUUCCAACUUUUAAAUGUGUAAUAUGAGAUUAUUUAUUUUUCUGUUAUGUCAGAUUUCAAGUUACAAUGUCAUGUCUUGAAAUGA